Lycium barbarum (goji berry) is the source of this 905-nucleotide long non-coding RNA. RefSeq lists it as uncharacterized. Lineage: Eukaryota; Viridiplantae; Streptophyta; Magnoliopsida; Solanales; Solanaceae. The record is from RefSeq and is a predicted model, not a curated record. The transcript has 3 exons.
CGGAGGGGAUAAAGAGAUAGAGAAAGUGGGGACACGGAAAAGCAGAAUAGAAAAGGAAUAGAAUAGAUAGAGAAAUAGAGAGAGAAAGAAACGGACAGAAGAAAAAGGAGAAAAACAAAAAAAAGGAUCAUCUUCUUUAUUUUUUUACCACCCAUAAAACUUCAUUUUUGCCAACACCACCUCCACCUACACCCAUCGGAAAAAAUCCCGUCACCACCCCUUGCCUAUUUAAAUCUAAAAAAAAAAAAAAGAGUACAAUACAAAACCUUCACUAAACAAACCCCAAAACAAAAACAAAAAAAAAAAAUCAUUGGUUUUCUUCUUCAUUUUUGGUAGUUUGUUUUCUGGGUCAAAGUUGGUCUCAUAAGUGGCUGUUUGUGUGCGAAAAUAUGCUGAUUGGUUGAGGUCUUGUUCGUCGAGUCCGUCGGAGCUCCAGUCACCAUUGAAAAGCUUGUAAAGACAAAGAAGGUUUGUGUUAAUGAUUAUAAUGCUUGGUGAUGCUGAGAAAUUGAUGGAUUGUUCUUUUGUUCAAUGUUACACCACAAAACAGUGCAAAAAUAGUAUUUUAAAAUCAGAGGCCACAAACAAGACCUUGCAGAGGCUCCAACACACCUUCAUCAUCUGUGGAUUGAAGAGUUCAGACGAAGUUUUAUAAAAUAAUGAAUUAUAUAUCAUUUUUACGAUGAAAAGUAGAGGAAAACAUAUUUGAAUUUUCUUUUAAAAAGAAUUUUGAAGUAAAAGAAAAAAAAUUAGUUUGGUAAUUGUGAUGUCACGGCUACUUUUCUUUUCUUCCCUUAAGAUUAUGUUUGGUUUUAAUUCUUAGAUUCGAUUUUAAAUUUAAGUUUUUGAAAUACUCUGGCGUUGAAAUUAUAGAUUUCAGUUAUAGAUUCUCCUGUUCUAAGAUA